This 239-nucleotide ribosomal RNA is filed under the name uncultured Pseudomonas sp. Its description in RNAcentral is "partial 16S ribosomal RNA". It matches the Rfam family "Bacterial small subunit ribosomal RNA", at positions 114 to 354 of the family's 1533-position model. Lineage: Bacteria; Pseudomonadati; Pseudomonadota; Gammaproteobacteria; Pseudomonadales; Pseudomonadaceae. The record is from RNAcentral.
UGCCUAGGAAUCUGCCUGGUAGUGGGGGACAACGGUUCGAAAGGAACGCUAAUACCGCAUACGUCCUACGGGAGAAAGCAGGGACCUUCGGGCCUUGCGCUAUCAGAUGAGCCUAGGUCGGAUUNAGCUAGUUGGUGAGGUAAUGGCUCACCAAGGCGACGAUCCGUAACUGGUCUGAGAGGAUGAUCAGUCACACUGGAACUGAGACACGGUCCAGACUCCUACGGGAGGCAGCAGGC